This is a long non-coding RNA of Solenopsis invicta (red fire ant), 1985 nucleotides long. RefSeq lists it as uncharacterized. The transcript has 2 exons. NCBI's taxonomy places the organism in Eukaryota, Metazoa, Arthropoda, Insecta, Hymenoptera, Formicidae. The record is from RefSeq and is a predicted model, not a curated record.
AAUUUAUUUAACUCGUUUAAAAGUUAUUUAUUUAAAACUGCAGCAAAAUAUAGUAAUUUUCACUGUAAAAAUAAUUAUAAAUUAAAUUUUUCAUUGUUUUCUUCCUUGCAGCUAGCUUCAGGGCCAAAAUUCGGACAUUCGCGACCAAAAUUUUUUAUUGUCGAUUAGAAAAAAGAAAUAAACCUAGAGAAAUCUUUAGUUAAUAAAUUUCGCUAACUUUGAACUAAAGCAUUCUUAAGAAGUGGAAAGAGUAUAUUUGUGAUAUACAUUUACUUCAUAAUGAGUCAAGUAUUUCAUAUAAAAAUUUGGUUGGCAUGAGACACGCGAUACUUGUUUUUGUGUGAUGUAUAUGCACAAUGGCUGUUGCAUACUGUUAUUUCUCAAUACGCAUAGUUGUACGCAUAGUUAUUUUAUAGUACGCAAUAUUUUUCAAAAGCGAAACUGGAUUGAUAUAUGGCCUUGGUAUUUGUUUAGAUAGUGACAGGUUCUGGCGUAUACAAGUUUGCCGUGGUCGGCUAUUGUUAUGCGCGCGAUGAGCCUCGAGCAGGUAACGGAGCGAGACGCUUCAUGCGUUAUUUCCUCUCGACAUGCGAUCGCGACAAGUAUUGAAUGCCAACGCAAAUAUUCGCUAAUAAUUCGCGAAUAAUUAAUGAUUGUUAGUUCAUAUUAUUAAUGAAUACCUACAAUGAAUGACUCAUAAACGUAUCAAAUUGAUGUAACUUGUCGAAAUUGAUAUUUCGCGCGAUUUGUUUAAUUAAAGUAGGAAUUGAAACUACGCGAAAUGGAGAUCGCGGGUUAUAUUUACGAUAUUACGGUAAUUAUCAUUUCUUUAAUAUUCGGAGUAGAUUGCAAUAUUGAAUUUUGACGAUAGAUUUGCAAAUGGCUCAACGUGAAAUUCUAAUUAGUAAUUAGCUUAAUUUAUUGACUAAACGGAAUGAAUCCGAGUCAAGCGGUUUUGCGAUGCGUAAAUAUAUAAAUCGUAAUUAACUCUAUUUUAAUAUUUGCAGAGUAGUAGAAAUUCGUUUGUAUUUACGGUGAUUCAUUAAAACUUUCCGAGAUUCAUUUAUCCGCUAAUUUCCGAGACAUUUCGCGAGAUAUUUCGAGUAAAUCAUAACUUUGUGCGGUUUUAUUUUUCUCGAGUUUUUCUUACAUGUUACAGCAUGAAGUACGCAUUGCGAGUGUCAACGUAAACUGUAAAGUAUUCGCGCGCUCGUUGUUUAUAAUUACUACGCGCGCGUUCAUAAAUGUUGAGUGCAACGAAAAAAUCUAAGAUGGAAGAGAGAAAGGAGAAGACAUUGACGAUGGAGUAACUGUAAGUAAAUGAAACUUGUAAUUUAUUUGUUAUUCGUCAGUCGCACGGAAUUAAUCUUUGCGAUUGUCACAUAGCGUUUAAGAUGAAAAAUUUUUUGAAUUCUUUGUAUAAGAAUUAUAGAUUUCUAUAUAAAAUUUGCUAAAAUUUUGUAUUUUUAAGAAAAAGGAGGAGUAUUGAAAAUUAUAUCAUUAUAUUUAAUUAAUUAUUUAAAACAGACGAAUAAAACAUGUGAUGCACACGAAAUAGAAUAAUUUAUUAUGAUAAUAAAUUAUUAAUUUCUGGAUAUAUUACAUGUAUAUACAUAGAGAAGCAGAUGGUAAUUAUAUCUCUUGGUAUUAUGGCCAUGGUAAUUUCUUCAUUAUUAGGUGACUAAUUUUAGUAAUUACUUACAGAACCAUUUGUUUAGGAGCUCACCAUUAUGAAAUGACAUUAAUGUGCCAAUGCAUAGGCGGCGUUUGUUAAUACCUUUAUUUUUGAGCAUUUCAAAACUUUUUCAAGAGCUACAUUAUCAUUCCUGUUGCUUUUCAAGCUAUUGUGCAGCAUCAUCGCAUUUUUAUAAAUAACAUUCUAAAUAAUAAAUAUUUCAUAACUUUGAAUCUAGAUAGAUAAAUGAAUCGUUAAGCUUUCAGUGUAAAAUAUUGUUUAUUAAUAAAGUUAUUGUACAAAAUGUAAA